Molecule: antisense RNA, 171 nt
Filed under: Vitis vinifera (wine grape)
Lineage: Eukaryota; Viridiplantae; Streptophyta; Magnoliopsida; Vitales; Vitaceae
Description: Antisense RNA which regulates isiA expression
Rfam family: Antisense RNA which regulates isiA expression
Source: Rfam by way of RNAcentral
AAUAACCAAAUUUAAGACUUGGGGUAAACGUCAAAUUAGUWAGUUAAUUUUCUUAUAUUACCCCUUUGGAACCCUGGUCAAUAAAUAAUAUCAAAUACUAAAAGAAAAGAAUGUAUAUCUAACAAGAUUUAGUGAAUACAAAAUUAUGAUCAUCUUAUUUCUAUUUUUUUU